Molecule: ribosomal RNA, 1435 nt
Filed under: uncultured organism
Description: bacterial SSU rRNA
Rfam family: Bacterial small subunit ribosomal RNA
Source: RNAcentral
GGCGGCGUGGUUGAUACAUGCAAGUCGAGCGGGAAAGAAUCCUUCGGGAUUCGAGUACAGCGGCGGACGGGUGAGUAACGCGUGAUCAACCUGCCCUCGGGACGGGGAUAGCCACUCGAAAGGGUGGGUAAUACCCGAUAUGACCACAACCUCGCAUGGGGUUGGGGUAAAAAGGUUGGGCUCUUCGGACCUUCUGCCCGGGGAUGGGAUCGCGUCCUAUUAGCUUGUUGGUGGGGUAACGGCCUACCAAGGCGGCGAUGGGUAGCCGGCCUGAGAGGGUGGACGGCCACAUUGGGACUGAGACACGGCCCAGACUCCUACGGGAGGCAGCAGUGCUGAAUCAUCCGCCAAUGCGCGAAAGCGUGACGGUGCGACGCCGCGUGGAGGAUGAAGGCCUUCGGGUCGUAAACUCCUGUCAGGAUCUAGGAAACCGCAGUGGUGAAUAAUCGCUGCGCUGACCCGAUCCAGAGGAAGCACAGGCUAAUUUCGUGCCAGCAGCCGCGGUAACACGAAAUGUGCGAGCGUUGCUCGGUAUUACUGGGCAUAAAGGGUUCGUAGGCGGUUUUGUAAGUCGGAUGUGAAAGCCCCCGGCUCAACCGGGGAAUUGCACCCGAUACUGCAUGACUUGAGGGUAAAAGGGGCAAGCGGAAUUCCAGGUGUAGCGGUGGAAUGCGUAGAUAUCUGGGAGAACGCCGAAGGCGAAGGCAGCUUGCUGGGUUACCCCUGACGCUGAGGAACGAAAGCUAGGGGAGCAAACAGGAUUAGAUACCCUGGUAGUCCUAGCUGUAAACGUUGGGCACUUUGUGGCGGGAGACCUGAUCUUUCGCUGCAGAAGCUAACGCAUUAAGUGCCCCGCCUGGGGAGUAUGGUCGCAAGGCUAAAACUCAAAGGAAUUGACGGGGGCUCACACAAGCGGUGGAGCAUGUUGUUUAAUUCGAAGCAACGCGAAGAACCUUACCUGGGCUUGACAUGCAGCUGCUCAUCCGGUGAAAGCCGGACUCCUUCGAGGGUGCUGCACAGGUGCUGCAUGGCUGUCGUCAGCUCGUGUCGUGAGACGUUGGGUUAAGUCCCGUAACGAGCGAAACCCCUGUCGCCUGUUGCUACCGGGUAAUGCCGGGCACUCUGGCGAGACUGCCGGUGUCAAACCGGAGGAAGGUGGGGACGACGUCAAGUCAUCAUGGUCCUUACGCCCAGGGCUACAAACGUGCUACAAUGGCUGGUACAGAGAGAAGCGAAGCCGCGAGGUGGAGCAAAUCUUCAAAGCCGGCCCCAGUUCGGAUUGGAGGCUGCAAUUCGCCUCCAUGAAGUCGGAAUCGCUAGUAAUCGCGGAUCAGCAAUGCCGCGGUGAAUAUGUUCCUGAGCCUUGUACACACCGCCCGUCAAGCCACCCAAGCUGGAAGCACCCGAAGUCCGGCGCCAAUAGUCCGGCCGAAGG